Non-coding RNA from Ciona intestinalis (vase tunicate), 99 nucleotides. The record is from RefSeq and is a predicted model, not a curated record. NCBI's taxonomy places the organism in Eukaryota, Metazoa, Chordata, Ascidiacea, Phlebobranchia, Cionidae.
AAGCGGCGAUUACACUACGGCGUAGCUCGCCUCGGUAUAUUUCUUUGUUUGUUUAUUUAAGCGGCGAUUACACUACAGCGUAUAGCUCGCCUCGGUGUA